RNAcentral lists this ribosomal RNA (253 nucleotides) under uncultured bacterium. Its description in RNAcentral is "partial 16S ribosomal RNA". It matches the Rfam family "Bacterial small subunit ribosomal RNA", at positions 524 to 776 of the family's 1533-position model. The record is from RNAcentral.
UACGUAGGGUGCAAGCGUUGUCCGGAAUUAUUGGGCGUAAAGAGCUCGUAGGCGGUCUGUCGCGUCGGCUGUGAAAACUCGGGGCUCAACCCCGAGCCUGCAGUCGAUACGGGCAGACUAGAGUGCGGUAGGGGAGACUGGAAUUCCUGGUGUAGCGGUGAAAUGCGCAGAUAUCAGGAGGAACACCGGUGGCGAAGGCGGGUCUCUGGGCCGUAACUGACGCUGAGGAGCGAAAGCCAGGGGAGCAAACGGG